RNAcentral lists this ribosomal RNA (468 nucleotides) under uncultured bacterium. RNAcentral describes it as "partial 16S ribosomal RNA". It matches the Rfam family "Bacterial small subunit ribosomal RNA", at positions 28 to 507 of the family's 1533-position model. The record is from RNAcentral.
GACGAACGCUGGCGGCGUGCUUAACACAUGCAAGUCGAACGGAAAGGCCCUGCUUUUGUGGGGUGCUCGAGUGGCGAACGGGUGAGUAACACGUGAGUAACCUGCCCUUGACUUUGGGAUAACUUCAGGAAACUGGGGCUAAUACCGGAUAGGAGCUCCUGCUGCAUGGUGGGGGUUGGAAAGUUUCGGCGGUUGGGGAUGGACUCGCGGCUUAUCAGCUUGUUGGUGGGGUAGUGGCUUACCAAGGCUUUGACGGGUAGCCGGCCUGAGAGGGUGACCGGCGACAUUGGGACUGAGGUAGGGCGCAGAAUCGUACGGGAGGCAGCAGUGGGGAAGUGUGCGGAAUGGGCGGAAGUCGGAUGCAGAAACGCCGCGUGCGGGAGGACGGCCUUCGGGUUGUAAACAGCUUUCGCCUGUGACGAAGAGGGAGUGACGGUAAUGGGUAAAGAAGCACCGGCUAACUACGUG